Molecule: RNA transcript, 2006 nt
Organism: Magnolia sinica
Lineage: Eukaryota; Viridiplantae; Streptophyta; Magnoliopsida; Magnoliales; Magnoliaceae
Gene name: protein RETARDED ROOT GROWTH, mitochondrial-like
Exons: 8
Source: RefSeq, a predicted model, not a curated record
ACGGAUGGACAGAGAGGAUUUCUCACAAACAUCACGGUGGCCCAGUAGCGUUCUGUCGGAGGAAGUCCCUGCAACAAGCUAUCGCAGUCAAAUCCGCUUCGGCGCCCUUGCUGCUGAUUCCCUCCAAGGCUAAAGUAAUGGGAUGGAUGGUAAUUGACACAUAGUGACUGCUCCAUCAUCCUCGAACUGGUGGUACUAUAGAGAGAUUCGUGGAAAUGUGGAGAACCGCAUCCUCUCACCACACCCACUGGGAAGCCAUGAUUUCUGCUUUCUCUUCUUCUUCCUCUUUUAUGCCCACCCAUUUUCGUCCUCUAAGAACCCUAGUUUUACCUUCCCACAGCCGCGCCUCCUUCUCUUCUUCACACUUCCAGCCUCCUCUCCACCGCUUCAGCUCCUUUACCUCUUCGUUCAGGCAUCCCUCGAGGAAUUCCGUCAUCACCACCGUCAUCCGAUCCCUUUCAUCCAUCUCUUCGGGCGAGGAAUUGGAAUGCAAAGAACCCUGUCUAUAUUCGGAGGCUGGCAGCAGCAGCGAUGGAUACCAGGAGCAUUUGUUGGAGUUGCAGAAAGAGAAGCAGAGCCGGUUCAUCACCGUCAAGGCCUAUUUUCUCUGUACCAGCAUCGAUUUGAGAAGCUUGCAGAAUCAGAAUGCUUUCAAUGUCAUUCCUCCUAACUCCCGUGCAACCAACUACAUUGUCCUCAGAUACUGUGACAUCAAGGCUGAUCCUCAUGGUGCAGAGGCCACCUUUGGAAGUGGAAGUAACUGCUGUCACAUGGUAGUUUUUCAAUAUGGAUCUAUCGUGUUGUUUAAUGUUUCUGAUCAUGAAGUUGAUGGAUAUCUGAAGAUUGUUGAAAAACAUGCUUCAGGAUUGCUUCCAGAAAUGAGAAAGGAUGAUUAUGCUGUAGUAGAGAAGCCAAGUCUAAAGGCAUGGAUGCAAGGUGGGUUGGACUACAUAAUGCUUAGGAACUUGACCAUAGAUGGGAUUCGUACAAUUGGAAGCGUUCUUGGUCAAAGCAUUGCUCUUGACUACUAUAUUCGUCAGGUCGAUGGAAUGGUUGCAGAAUUCACAGAUAUAAAUCGUGGGAUGGAGAAAACUGGUACCUUUACUAUGAAGCGGAAAAAGCUUUUCCAACUAGUAGGAAAAGCGAACUCUAAUCUAGCUGAUGUGAUUCUUAAGCUAGGACUUUUCGAGAGGUCAGACAUAGCUUGGAAAGAUGCUAACUAUGCUCAGAUAUGGGAGUAUCUUCGAGAUGAAUAUGAACUGACUCAGAGAUUUGGAAGCCUUGAUUUUAAGCUGAAGUUCGUGGAGCACAAUAUUCGCUUUCUACAAGAAAUUCUUCAGAAUAGGAAAUCAGAUUUUCUGGAAUGGCUUAUCAUUAUAUUGAUUAGUGUUGAGAUUCUCAUCUCUGUUUAUAAUAUUGUCCGCGAGUCCACAAUGACUUAGCUUUGACAUAGAGAGAUGCUGGAAGCUAGAAGAAUGUCAAGUUUAAGAUUGAAGACAUGGUCAAAUUCCUCAUUCCAGCUGAUGGUGCCGUCCAUUUGGAUAUGCUGUUUUGAGGUGCAAUUCCUGUGGACUCCUUUUGAUAAGUUAUGAAUUCGGCUUCUACAACCUCUCCAUUCUAUCUGUACAAUCAAUUCACUGGCUGGGGGAUUCUGUAAGCCCAUUGUUGGUAAGCCUUGGAGACUCUGGAUGAUGAGAUGGAGCUUGAACCUCCUGGUGGUUGCAGGAGUGGUACAGGUCCCCCAUCUGCGCAUUCCGGUAGCAAGAAAUCUGCAAUUGAAGAUUCUGAGGACCUACUUUCUUCUUCUUCUUUUCUUGAAUGGGUGGAGGAAUAUCACAAGAACAGUUUCAUAAUCCAAAGGUGUGAAUUGUAGAUAAGUGUCCUUGGUUUGGUUUGUUCUCUAAGCUGAUUGGCAACCCAGAUGCUCUUACAGGCUGUUUCAAGUCAACUUCAUCACAGGUAAGCCAAUUUUAAAAAUGUGUUCUUAAAGGAGUAGUUAUAUGGGA